CUCAGCUGCUGCAUAUGGAAGUUCCCAGGCAAGGGGUCAAAUCAGAGCUGCAACUGCCUGCCUAUGCCAUAGUCACAGCAACAUCAGAUCCAGGCCAAGUCUGUGACCACACCACAGCUCAUGGGCAAUGCCAGAUCCAUAAACCACUGAGUGAGGCCAGGGAGCAAACCUGUGUCCUGAUGGAUACUAGUCAAAUUUGUUACCACUGAGCCACAAUGGGAACUCUAUGCAAUAUGUACCCUUGUGAGACUUCUUUCACUCACCAUAAUGUUUUCAAGAUUCUCCCAUAAUAUUAUAUGUAACAAUAAGGUGUUCCUUUUAUUGCUGAUCAGUAUUCAUUUAUAUAAAUAUGGCACUGUUUGCUUAUCCAUUCUUCAAUUGGUGGACACCUGGCUAUUUCUACUUUUUGGUUAAAAUGAACAAGGCUGCUAUGAAUAUUCUUAUAAAAGUCUUUUCCAGGUGUGUGUUUUCCUUCUCUUUGGUCAAUGACAAGUUGCAGAUCUUCUGGGUCUUAGGUUAAGUAUAUGUUCAGUUUUGUAAGAAACUGACCAGCCCUUUCCCCCGUUUUUCCUCUUUAAGAGGUUGUACAUUUUCUACUACCACCAACAAGAAAUAAUAGCUGUUCACCCUUGCCAGCAUAUGGCAUUGUCAAUCUUUUUAAUUUUAGCCAUUUGGGUGGGUGUGUCGUGGUAUCUUGUGAGAAAAUGGAUUUUUAAAAGACUUAAAAUUAUCUGAAAAUAAGUGAGACAUUUUUGGGCUACCAAAUUUUUCAGGGAAGUUACAUUUCUAAUUGUAUUAUUUUUGGAUGUGUUGAGCUAGAGAGUUAAGAGGGAAAAAAAAUCAUGUUCUGUCAAUGUCAAAAGCAUUAAGAAAAUAAUAUAGCUGCUAUUGUAUGCUUAUGUUCCAAGAACACUCUUCUAAGCUCUUUACACACAUAAACUCUCAGUAACUAGCAUGUAUUGAGAGAUUACUAUUUGCUAAGCACCUAGCACUUUACUUGAUAAAACUUAAACCUUCUCUACAACUUUGCCAAGUCAGUACUGAAUGCCAUUUUUCAAAGAUAAAGAAUCUGGCUGGCCCAAGACCAGUAACUGAGGGGUCUAGGAUCAGAACUCACAUCAAGACCCAUGCUUGGGGCUUGACCCUGCCCUACCUCACUGUGUCUGAGGGGUCACCCCGAGACGGAUGACAUUGUGCCUGGAUCUUUCUCUGCUCAAAUUUCCAAGCUUCUUUAAAGUUUCCAUCUGAGCAAACUGUAAGGUAGGGGUACCGCUUUUGCUGGCUCAGCAUGUGGCCGGAGAGAGGAAACAAAAUUUCUGUGACCUAAGAAGCAAAUCUCCCCUAAGGCAAGACAUUUCUGGCUAUUUCAAUUUCAUUCACUUAGCAACUUCUGAGACUCAAUCUCCUGUCCCUUCUCUGGAAGUCAGACUCAAAGCCUAAUUGAGACGUACGUCUCCUGCCAUCAGCUUCAGGCCCUAUGCUGACUAAAGUCUGCCCCAGAGGAUAAUUAAGCAACCCGGCACUUGAGACAGCACAGCUAGGCUCACACGGGUGGCAGGAGGGCUCACUGGUUAGGACAAUCUAUUUUGGAGUCAGAGGGACCUGCAUCCGACUCUUGACUCUUAUCAUAUUCCAGCUGUGAACUUCCGGUAACUUGUGUUAUCUUGCUGAGUCUCACUUUCUGUGGCUCACUUUCUGCAUCUGGAAAAUGGGCAUAAUAAUCUCAAUACAUACAUCACAGAGCGCUUCUAAGAUUAACUGCAGUAAUGACUAAAAUAGUCAUCACACUUCAUGACCUAGAGCUCAAGAAAUGUUGAAUAAUACUAUCCUGAUUGUUUAAUGGUGUCUGUCUUCACUAGAGAUUAUUAACAAAAGAAAAUGAAUGUUACUAGUGAGUGGUCUAGGUUAGAAAAAGAGAACUGUGAUUUAAUCCAAACCAACUAAAUGCUGUACUAACUACAUUCAGAGUUGCAGUGAUUCUGGGAGGAGGGAUUAAGAGUUGCAUUUUACAGAUGAGGGAAGAAAGUAAGUCACAACGUGGUUAAAUAACAUUACCAAAGGCGAUGAGGGGUCAGAGUCAGGAUCACAAAUAGAAGAGAAAAAAAAAAAAUGACUGCAUCAAAAACUACCCUAGGCAGAUGCUGUAUCAGGCAGUCCAUGGCCACUGGAAAUGCUAGGAACUAACACUGUUUAAUUUGGUGGGUGGAACGGGAAACUUGAAACAGAUCGCAGAUGGAGCAUAAGAAAGAUGUAGAAAGCAAAACGAUGAGCUCGGUCAUUUAAAGAUCUUCUUUUAAUUUUGGGUUUCAUAUCUUUCCUGAAGGGUGACCUUGGGAACAGUUACUGAAUCAUGCUGAACCUUGGUCUUCUUAUCUGGAAAGUGGACCCAUCUGGGCAGGAUCCCAAAGACAACUAUGUUCUGAAAUUUAAAGCCCUGUAGGCAGGGUAUUCCAAAGAAGACAGCAACCAGCAACCCUUGAAUCAAUAAUCAGGCUUGAGAAUGAAAGGCUUGCACAGUUAUAAUUCACGCUUGCCAUUUGAGCUGCCAUCGGUGACCACUGGCUGGAGGCUGGGCCUCAGUCACAUUUAACUCAGCCUCUUCUUUGAGUGGAUCCAUCCCCUUGCUUCUCUCAGUCCAAGCCACCAUCAGUUCGUGCCCAGGUCCCCAUCAGUCUUCCUGCUUUUCCCUUUGCCUCUUCGUCCCACUUCGAUCCUUGUGGCUUUUAAACAUAUAAAGUAAAUCCUGUCACUCAUCUGCUGGGAACCUAUUAGUGGCUUCCAGUUGCUUUAAUUAUUAAAUCUAAACUCUUUUUAAAUAAAGUAUAGUUGAUUUACAAGGUUCCUUCAAUUUCUGCUCUAUAGCAAAGUGACCCAGUCUCAUAUAUAUAUAUAUAUUCUUUUUUUAUACUAUCUUUAAUCAUGUUCUAACCCAAGAGAUUGGACAUAGUUCCCUGUGCCGUACAGUAGGACUUCAUUGCUUAUCCAUUCUAAAUAUAACAGUUUACAACAACUCACUCCCAAUCUCCCCAUCCACCCAACUCCCCCACCCCCAAACACAAAACUACAUGUCUGCUUUCCAUGUCUGUGAUCUGUUUCUACUUUAAUCAUUUGUCAUAUUUUAGACUCCACAUCUAAGUGACAUCAUAUGGUAUUUGUCUCUUUCUGACUUAUUUCACUUAGUAUGAGAGUCUCCAGUUGCAUCUAUGCUGCUGCAAAUGGCAUUAUUUUGUCCUGUUUAUGGCUGGGUAGUAUUCCAUUGUGUACAUGUGCCCCAUCUUCUUGAUCCAUUCAUCUGUCAAUGGACAUUUGGCUUUUUUCCAUGCCUUGGCUAUUGUGAAUGGUGUUGUGAUAUAUCCAAACUCUUUAAAAGGCCUGAAAUACCUUCAUGUUUGGGGACCUGUGGACCCCACCAAUUUCAUCUGAUACCUUCCCUCUGCCACUGAUUCUCUUUGCUCCAACCACACUGGCCUCCUUCUCUUUGUGACUGAGCCAGGCUGUCUCAACCUCAGGGCCUUUGCACCAGCUCUUCCCUCUGUCCAUGGUCUGUGAUACACUCCUGCUAAAUUUUCACAUGGCUACCUCUUCUCUCUGUCAGUCUUGGCCAAAUAUCUUCUUCUCAGAAAGGGUCUCUGAAUCAUGCUAAUUAGCCCCCAAUUAACUCCAUCACCUGGACUCAUUUCCUCAUGGUCACUAUGGGACACUGGGGUUAGUCGGUUUUCCUUUUACUUUCUAAUGACUGCCCCACCUGACUACAGUGUAAGUUCCAGGAGAGCAGAGGCCUUGUUUUGUGUAUUUCUGUAUUCCUAUGCUUAAAAUCAGGCCUGGCUCACAGUUGGCACUUGGACAAUAUCUAUAGAAGGUGCAAAUAAAUACCACUAGUCUUGGAACUGUGUGAUGGGGGUGGGAGCCAGCCACACAAGGAAGAAGCCCAUCGUUUCUCUCCUGGCUGAUCUUUCUCUCGAUUGCUGGGGAUGGGGGGAUGGGGAUGAGGGGUGGCCUGAAAUCAAUUUAAUCAGCUAUGCCUGCCAGUCCAAUCCAGCCUGGAGCCUCUUGGCUAGCAUCUCAUUAGUACUAGAGGACAAAGAGCAAGACUGUGCUUGUGAGAGGAUGUGGAGAAUGAGCUAAAGCUGCAUGGCCCUAAUAGGCCAUCAGAGACUAUAGCAACUGCAGUGGCCCCUGUGAAUCUGGAUACCAAGGGAGGCAGGUGGGGAUGCAGAGAGGAGGCUGGAGGGAGGAGAUGGGAGCUGAUCUAGAGAAAUAGCCAGGCAAGGGCCAGCA
Molecule: long non-coding RNA, 4278 nt
Filed under: Sus scrofa (pig)
Lineage: Eukaryota; Metazoa; Chordata; Mammalia; Artiodactyla; Suidae
Description: lncRNA (ENSSSCG00040060946.1)
Source: RNAcentral